GACGAACGCUGGCGGCGUGCCUAACACAUGCAAGUCCAGGAGAAUUGGUUUCUUCGGAUUCCAUAGUAAACUGGCGAACGGGUGAGUAACACGUAAAUAACCUGCCCUAGAGACGGGGAUAACACUGCUAACGCGGUGCUAAUACCGGAUGAUGCAGCGGAUCCGCAUGGAUAUGUUGUUAAAGCUGGCCUCUUCAUGAAAGCUAGCGCUUUAGGAUGGAUUUGCGUCCCAUUAGUUAGUUGGCGGGGUAACGGCCCACCAAGACAGCGAUGGGUAGCCGGCCUGAGAGGGUGAUCGGCCACACUGGGACUGAGAUACGGCCCAGACUCCUACGGGAGGCUG
This 342-nucleotide ribosomal RNA is filed under the name uncultured Deferribacteres bacterium. Its description in RNAcentral is "bacterial SSU rRNA". It matches the Rfam family "Bacterial small subunit ribosomal RNA", at positions 28 to 351 of the family's 1533-position model. Lineage: Bacteria; Pseudomonadati; Deferribacterota; Deferribacteres. The record is from RNAcentral.